ACUUCAGGGCAGGGUGAAAUUCCCUACCGGCGGUAAAGCCCGCGAGCGAAAGCUGAUUUGGUGAAAUUCCAAAGCCGACAGUAAAGUCUGGAUGAAAGAAGU
Molecule: non-coding RNA, 102 nt
Filed under: bovine gut metagenome
Description: FMN riboswitch (RFN element)
Rfam family: FMN riboswitch aptamer (RFN element)
About the family: The RFN element is a highly conserved domain that is found frequently in the 5'-untranslated regions of prokaryotic mRNAs that encode for flavin mononucleotide (FMN) biosynthesis and transport proteins.
Source: RNAcentral